UACGGGGGGGGCAAGCGUUGUUCGGAAUUACUGGGCGUAAAGGGUUUGUAGGUGGCUAAUUGAGUCAGACGUGAAAUCCCUCAGCUUAACUGGGGAACUGCGUCUGAUACUGGUUGGCUUGAGUGCAGGAGAGGAACGCGGAAUUCCAGGUGUAGCGGUGAAAUGCGUAGAUAUCUGGAGGAACACCGGUGGCGAAGGCGGCGUUCUGGACUGCAACUGACACUGAGAAACGAAAGCCAGGGGAGCAAACGGG
RNAcentral lists this ribosomal RNA (253 nucleotides) under uncultured bacterium. RNAcentral describes it as "partial 16S ribosomal RNA". It matches the Rfam family "Bacterial small subunit ribosomal RNA", at positions 524 to 776 of the family's 1533-position model. The record is from RNAcentral.